CACAAAGAGUUCUAUAAAAGGGGGGACGGGGUGGUCGAGCGGUUUAAUUCGUCGGCUGCGGCGCAGCCGGCUCCGGUUCGAUCCUCGGCCACUGGGUGGCAUUUUUCUCCGGGCAAGUCACGGUGUCCGGAGAACAAGUGCUGCCAUCCCCCCACCCCGGGGCAUGGCAGAAACCUACGGGUGCCCCAUUAAAAAUUCUGCCAAAUACACUCACGUGUAACACCCCUACUGUUUCAACCCUACUGUACCAACCCUACCAACCUACAGGCUAAUGACCUAAGUUGUCGAAGCCUUAAAAAAAUAAAAAAAAAAAAAAAAAAAAAGUUCUAUAAAAAAAAAAAACCAUAGAUUUAUCAUAUUAUAUUAUUCGUCAUCUGUGGUAUACGACAAUCGAUGACAUUCGUCGAAGAUGAUUAACAAUUCUAUAAUAGUCUUAAUGAACAGUACUGAAGUACAUGACAAAAUCACGAUUGAAGAACGAUAUGAAGAAAAUUUGCAGUUUCUUCGGCGGCGGUGCACUACUACGUAUAGUCUGAAGAUUGACACAACUCGGUUUCACGGGAACAGUCGACGCUUAAAUCUUGCCAUAAUAUCGGAAAAACAAAAAAAGUGAAAUAAUUACGCUAUAACCCGGAGGACGAUUGGCAGUAUCAUUAAGAAGCUCAUCUGAAUAACACAAAUAAGUGUCGCAAGGCUGUGUUUGUUUAAUAAUAUAAUUUUUUGAACAGUAGUACAGUAUAUUAUGAAUAUUUACUUAAAUUAUAUUUAAUUUUUAUGGUUUUUUUUUCAGAUAAUAUACUGUACUACGGUUUUAGGUGUUCUUUUUAUUUUAAUAAUACGUUGAUAAAUUACCAAUUUUUUCAAUUUUUUUUUCUUAUCACAAAGCUAGUUCGUCUUUGUGUAUGUUUAAAUUUAUAUUUUUUUAUAGUUAUUGUGCUGUUUAACUUUCUUACAAAAGAGAGUGAGGAAUUAAAAAGGUGGCCACCGAACAGAAAGUUAAACUGCAAUAUACUAUAAUCUUUUUAGUUCUUGUUUACAUUUUUAACUAAUAAAUUAUGAAUAUAAAAUUUCAAAUUAAUUUAAAUUCAAAAAUAAAAGAACACCAACAUAGAUUUCUUAAACAUUAAAAUUUUACUAUAAGUUUAAAUUUAAUUUAAUUAGCACAUUAGUUGAAGUUUUAUAGGAACCGAACAUUUGGCUGGAUCAUGGACUAUCCACCGACGGAGAAUUUGUCAUUGAGCUGAUGGGAAAUGUGUCGGCACUCGGCUUCAUUUCAACUUGGAGGAAGAUUGGCAGCAGCAAAAAGAAAUUCAACUGAUAAUCAACUGUCCAAAUGAAGAAGAAUUUGUCACAAAGCUGAUGGGAAAUGUGUCAGCACUCGGCUUCGUUUCAAACCGGAGGAAGAUUGGCAGCAGCAAAAAGAAAUUCAACUGAUAAUCAACUGUCCAAAGUAUUUUGAAGAAGAAUUUGUCACAAAGCUGAUGGGAAAUGUGUCGGCACUCAGCUUCGUUUCAACCCGGAGGAAGAUUGGCAGCAUCAAUAAGAAGCUCAUCUUAAUUUAGUUGUCCCCCCUUUACGCAUUAGCGCUCAUCUCUCAUCCACUCAUCCAACACAUUCACUAUCGCCGGCCGGCAACACACAUAUAUUAUACACAUUACCCGUUUUAUAUUAUAUAAUUUUAUUAAUACCUACAUAGUUUAAGUUAUUGUAUAUUUUUUUUUUAUUAUUUGAAUGCAUUCAUAUGAUCAGUUGUGUAUUUAGGAAUUUUAGGAUAAGGGCAACACAUAUUUUGCCGCAUUCCCCCCAUUAAAAAAAAAUUAAAAAACUUCUACGCCGCGCAAUAGUGGUCAAACU
Rhopalosiphum padi (bird cherry-oat aphid) is the source of this 1854-nucleotide long non-coding RNA. RefSeq lists it as uncharacterized. NCBI's taxonomy places the organism in Eukaryota, Metazoa, Arthropoda, Insecta, Hemiptera, Aphididae. The transcript has 5 exons. The record is from RefSeq and is a predicted model, not a curated record.